GAUGAACGCUGGCGGCGUGCCUAAUACAUGCAAGUCGAGCGAACAGAUGAGGAGCUUGCUCCUCUGACGUUAGCGGCGGACGGGUGAGUAACACGUGGAUAACCUACCUAUAAGACUGGGAUAACUUCGGGAAACCGGAGCUAAUACCGGAUAAUAUAUUGAACCGCAUGGUUCAAUAGUGAAAGACGGUUUUGCUGUCACUUAUAGAUGGAUCUGCGCCGCAUUAGCUAGUUGGUAAGGUAACGGCUUACCAAGGCAACGAUGCGUAGCCGACCUGAGAGGGUGAUCGGCCACACUGGAACUGAGACACGGUCCAGACUCCUAUGGGAGGCAGCAGUAGGGAAUCUUCCGCAAUGGGCGAAAGCCUGACGGAGCAACGCCGCGUGAGUGAUGAAGGUCUUCGGAUCGUAAAACUCUGUUAUUAGGGAAGAACAAAUGUGUAAGUAACUAUGCACGUCUUGACGGUACCUAAUCAGAAAGCCACGGCUAACUACGUG
This 497-nucleotide ribosomal RNA is filed under the name uncultured bacterium. Its description in RNAcentral is "partial 16S ribosomal RNA". It matches the Rfam family "Bacterial small subunit ribosomal RNA", at positions 28 to 507 of the family's 1533-position model. The record is from RNAcentral.